GCAUCUGUAGCCUAGUUGGUAAAGGAAGCACUCUUGUAUGUGACUCAGCAUUGCUGAGGUUGUGAGUUCAAAUCUCACCAGGCACA
Molecule: transfer RNA, 86 nt
Organism: Puccinia graminis f. sp. tritici
Lineage: Eukaryota; Fungi; Basidiomycota; Pucciniomycetes; Pucciniales; Pucciniaceae
Rfam family: tRNA
About the family: Transfer RNA (tRNA) molecules are approximately 80 nucleotides in length. Their secondary structure includes four short double-helical elements and three loops (D, anti-codon, and T loops). Further hydrogen bonds mediate the characteristic L-shaped molecular structure. tRNAs have two regions of fundamental functional importance: the anti-codon, which is responsible for specific mRNA codon recognition, and the 3' end, to which the tRNAs corresponding amino acid is attached (by aminoacyl-tRNA synthetases). tRNAs cope with the degeneracy of the genetic code in two manners: having more than one tRNA (with a specific anti-codon) for a particular amino acid; and 'wobble' base-pairing, i.e. permitting non-standard base-pairing at the 3rd anti-codon position.
Source: Rfam